AGGGUGUAAACGCUGCCGACUUGGUGUUGGAGGCCCUUCGGGGGCAUUCAGUGCCGGAGAGAAGUUGUUAAGUCGGCCACUUGGGAGUACGUCCGCAAGGAUGAAACUUAAAGGAAUUGGCGGGGGAGCACCGCAACGGGAGGAGCGUGCGGUUUAAUUGGAUUCAACACCGGAAAACUCACCAAGGGCGACUGUUACAUGAAAGCCAGGCUAAUGACCUUGCUUGAUUUUCAGAGAGGUGGUGCAUGGCGUCAGUGACU
RNAcentral lists this ribosomal RNA (260 nucleotides) under uncultured archaeon. RNAcentral's name for it is "partial 16S ribosomal RNA". It matches the Rfam family "Archaeal small subunit ribosomal RNA", at positions 748 to 1008 of the family's 1478-position model. The record is from RNAcentral.